Molecule: regulatory RNA element, 56 nt
Organism: Buttiauxella agrestis ATCC 33320
Lineage: Bacteria; Pseudomonadati; Pseudomonadota; Gammaproteobacteria; Enterobacterales; Enterobacteriaceae
Rfam family: ClpQY promoter
Source: Rfam
CCCCGAUAAAAUGUCGGGGUACUUAUUUAGCUGAUGCAAUAAGGGGUCUGCUCGUG